AGGACUGCCCAGGAGCUGCUGGGUUUGAGAUCCUGGUGCAGGGUGGCCUUAGGGCAAGUUCCAGCAUGGUGACCCUGAGUGUCUUCUUCAGCCCUGAGGUGGAGAGAAAUCUGUGGUGCAAAAGGAUCAGGAAGUGACUUUUAAGCUGUUCAACCCCCUCAGUCCUUGACAUCCCCAAAGAUAAAACCAGGAGCUGGUUACAGGUUGUCUCAUGCUGACAUGUGCCUCCUGCUUCCCCUCCUGCCGGCUGGGACAGUGACACUGGGAGAGCUGCUAGACCUGGGUGUGCUCCAGACCUUCCCAACGUUUCCCAUCCUCCGAGCCCAUCGGAUGCCUGCGCCAGCCCUGCACCAGAAACAGCUCACGCCUGGCCUGAGAGACCACACUUCCCUACAACUGCUGAAAUACUGAUGCUUAUUUUAGCACAUGAAGAGACUAUUAACUUUUGGCUUUAGCCAACUUAGCUAAGAAUCUGAGGGCUGUGGCAGCUCCACAGGGAGUUUUGUGCCAUCACUUCACUCCUCCUCACAUGAACAAUACCCCAGACUCAUUCCUCUCUCUGGUCUCAGCUGCAAGAUGUUGGCACAGGGAAAGGGCACCCGCUGCUGCUGAAGAACUCGCUGCCGGAUGGAUGGAAACCAAACAUCUUGAGUUCCACCUGGAGCCUCCGGCAGCGAAUGCAGGGCGCAGAGCAGUCGUGUGGUGGUUUCUCAUGGUAACACGUGGCUCGGUGAGCCCCUCUCCAGCUUUCUUACAGCUUCGCGAUGCUCAAAGCUUGACUUGUUACUCGCCUGGGCAUGAUGAUCAGUGAUAGACCAGAGGGGUCCCAGGGAUCCUGCCCAGCAAAUGAACACAGUGAGCUUUGCACCAGAGAAGAGGGAGCCAGUCUGCACGACCUGACAAGUGUCCUGUGCCUCGGGAUUUGGUUUAGCUGAUGGGCCAGAGAGCAAAGACACAAGUCCUGAGCGACUGGGGCUUUCCUUCGGAGCCUCAUGAACCAUGUGUUUGUGUGGAGGCAGAGAUUACAUAAAGGAGUGGGAGAUGGGGAGGUGUUGUUUAUGUCACAGGCUCAUCCUGUAUGUGUGAAAUGCUGGAUGCAAAUAGCGCGGUUUAGAAGCCGGGUGCUGUUGGGGCACACGCUGAGCGAGGAGGAGCAGGGUUUGACACUCAAGUUCCAGGCAGCAGACCAUGGCUGGACGGGAUUCAUGGAAGAACACAGACAAGAGUGCUAUUUAAAAUCCAAAUCUGAUUCUGGAAGGCAUUUCCCACCUUUAUGAUGAGCUCAGGCACUUGAAAAUAGCCACACCGUAAAGCGUGGAGAUUGCAAACCUGAACUGCGUGUGAAGGAAAACCAACACCCUGUGUCCUUCCUGCCUGUUUGAAUACUGCCACCGCCCUAUAAACCUGUUAACAACCAAAAACCCAUGCAGAAAUCACACAGGUUUGGUUACUAAUGCUUGGCAAACAGCAUGGCCUGAGGAUCAACGUCACGGUCGGAUCUCCAGGCAACAGCUUCUCCUCGCCUUGUACCAUCGCUCUCCCUGAAAAGAGAGGGAUAAAGAGUAUUAAUAAGGAGGCAGGCAGGCUGUGAAGACAGCACAGUGCUUGGGAAGAGGGUGCUGCUGCAUCUCCACUCGUAAAUCAGGAUCAUCAUCACACCAGGGGAGAGAAAGAGAACCCAGAGCAAAGGCAUCUGGUGUGAGUGAUGUCUCUGAGCCUGCUGGCGCUCUCCGUCUUCCCGGGGCGCUUGCCUCCGCUGAGCCGUGCCGCCUGCCAGCAGCCAUUAAUCCCAUCCUGUCCUGCCGGAGCGCUGAGCCUGGGCCAAGGCAGAUACUUCUUGUGUCUGACAGUUUGGGGUUGGGGGGUUUUUGUCUCUUUUUUAAUCCUUGUUGUAACGAGCAGGAGCCCAGAAACGCUCCAAGUGCUUUCUGCAGGCGCGGGUGUUGGUGAGGAGAAGACAAAGCCAGAGCAGCGUUCUCUUUGUGCAGCAUCGGUUGCCCCUUUUGGCUCUAAUACAUGUAUAAAGAGAGGAGUGACAUCUGGGGGAGCACAGGGACCUCCCUACAGCGCUGUCUCUCUGCAGAACCCAUUUUGGGUACAGCGCUUUUCCUGCAGGGGAAUUUGAGGGGGACACCAGUAGCAGACCUCCUGAACUCACCAGUUCUGAUUUCACCCAGGCUUGUUGAGACACAGAUGCUCUGAAUGUGGUGUGCUAAGAGUAAUCCUGCCUUAUGCAACUAAUCCUAUCUGUACUUUAUUCUUGUUUUUGGAUGGGAGGGGAAACACCAGAGGGGUUUUUAGCUCUUUGCUUGGGCAAAGCCAUCCUCACACUGGCAAUGGGACAGUAGAACCAUGGCCUGAAGACCCGUUUUGGGUGAUUUGUGCUACCAGGACACGGUGUGUCAGGGAGUAUUUUACAGACCUUUGCUCAGCAUUUAUGUCACAUUUUACCACAGCACAGUACUAGUGCUUACGUGAGUGAGAGCUUGCAUUUCUCAGCAGUAAAACCUCAUGGGUUUGUCUGAGUCUUUUGUUCCUCAAUGAAAAAGGGGGAACUUGAACCCUUGAUAACUGUAUAUUUUAGAAAUGUAUAAAUUUUAGUAAUAAAUGUGGCUCACAAGAGCAGA
Molecule: long non-coding RNA, 2627 nt
Organism: Strigops habroptila (Kakapo)
Lineage: Eukaryota; Metazoa; Chordata; Aves; Psittaciformes; Psittacidae
Exons: 4
Source: RefSeq, a predicted model, not a curated record